ACUGUCCCGCUUCUGUACCCUGGCUUGCUUGCAUUGGGUAGACCCCCUGAACAUCCCUUUUGCAGUUUUCAGGCUUAUAAGGAGUGCCUUGUAAUUGUUCUGGGAUGAUCAGGGGAAGAGCUUUAUGUUCUGGUCAGCCACCAAUGGUGUGCUUCAAUAAAGACUUGAUUCGAUUAUAUGUGAGUGGUCUGGAAGUCAGUUUAUGAAAUCCCAGGAUGAAGAUUUAACUAUAGCAUCUGGGGGCUCGCCAUGGAUCCAUUUCUUCCCUCCCUCAUGCCAAAUUUGCCUCCAACUAUGGUCCUUUGGACCUCGGCCCCAGAGUAGAGGGGAGCUCCUGAGAGAUGUUCCUCAGCCUCAUUCCAAGGACAACUCCAGUCCAUCCUAGGACGCUCUGAAAAGCCUCCUGCUGGCCUGUCAGUUCUGGUUAAAAGUUGGUGGCCGCUAUCCAAGAAACCAGAAAAGAACAGUUUAAAAUGGGACCUCAACCUGGGGGACUCUCCCAAGGAGACCAAUGAAGCUGUGUCUUUGGGAAGUUCCUCCAGGGAGAAAUAAGCCCCCUUCAUUGGUCUAUGUUCCCUCAACUCUUUUCAGCUUUCAUGAACAGGACCACCUCAGGAAAAAGAAGUGCCUACCCCAGGUGAAUUUACAUCCUGUUCCUCCUGAACCAGAUUUUUACUAUGGACUCCUUGACCCACUCAGUUUCUAAAAAGGGACUCCAAAUUGCUUGCCCACUGUACAUCGCCCCCUUUAAACUGGAAGUAGCAAGAACGGUCAUCGCCCUUUUCCCUUAUGGCAGUUGGAGGUCCCUAAUAUUAGAGGAAAAAUUAUGGUCAAUAUAUAUGUUCACCAAUAUGUCUAGCUCAGGAAGAUGUACCUGGGAUACUACUCCCAAGAUUACCCUGGGUGAUCUCUCAUAAAGAGACACUUGCUUCCACAACCCAACUUAUAAGUGGGACAACUCCCUGUUAACCAAAAAUUAUGCUUCCCGGGUCCCACUUCGAACUCCACCUGUAUCUCCAAACCAUCAAUAACUCUGAACUAUGUAACCUACUAUUUUGAUGGAGUAAAAAGAAAAAAAACACCUGAACUUAUUAAAAGGCCAGGGUCAACUGAUUUAUCAACAUAGACUGGCUGCCCCCAUUUUAGUUCCCCUCCUGGCUGGUUUGGGAAGUCCCUGAUCUAUCAAAUAGAUAUAGAUUUAGGAAAACUAAAAAGGUCAAUCUUCAACCUAAAGGUUUCACUAGACUCUCUGACAGAAAUAGUCUUAUAAAACAGAUGAGGUCUAGAUGGUCUCCUUCUGAAACUAAAUGGACUUUGUAUGGAUCCAGGAGAAACUUGUUUCUAUGCAAACCAUUCUGGGAUAAUAAAAAACAGUUUGGCGCUUGUGAGAAAUAGGUUAAAGAAAAGAGAUGAAGCACUAGAAACUUCAGGCAUUUGGUUCCAAAACCUAUUCUCAUGGUCCCCUUGUCCACCAUCAUUUCAGCCAUAGUUGGGCCCCUAGUUCUUCUCUUGAUUGGGAUUACUGUAGGACCCUGCCUCUUAAAAACCCUCCUAAACCAUAUACACAAAAAUGUAGGUGAGAUCAGACUUAUGGUCUUGCGAGCCCAGUCUAGUCCCUUAGACACAAAAGGAUAGGGAAAAAAAACUGAGGCCUAAUGAUGCACACAAGAUUGACAUCAAACCUACUAAAACCAUUGGGGAAUGUGAUAGUAGGAGCAAAUGUAACUCCAUUUUGUUUUAUGACUUCAUCCUGUAAAACAACCAUGCCAAGUAGAAGAGUCAUGACUGGGGCAAAAUUUUCUUUUCCUUUUGCUGUAGAAAC
This is a long non-coding RNA of Ictidomys tridecemlineatus (thirteen-lined ground squirrel), 1822 nucleotides long. RefSeq lists it as uncharacterized. The record is from RefSeq and is a predicted model, not a curated record. Lineage: Eukaryota; Metazoa; Chordata; Mammalia; Rodentia; Sciuridae.